Molecule: ribosomal RNA, 566 nt
Filed under: uncultured Redeckera
Lineage: Eukaryota; Fungi; Glomeromycota; Glomeromycetes; Diversisporales; Diversisporaceae
Description: SSU rRNA
Rfam family: Eukaryotic small subunit ribosomal RNA
Source: RNAcentral
UUGGAGGGCAAGUCUGGUGCCAGCAGCCGCGGUAAUUCCAGCUCCAAUAGCGUAUAUUAAAGUUGUUGCAGUUAAAAAGCUCGUAGUUGAACUUCGGGAUUUGCUCAUUGGUCAGGCUUCACUGUCUGUACUGGUGUAACGAAUUCCUACCUUCUGAUGAAUCUUCAUGCCAUUCAGUUGGUGCGGAGGGGAAUCAGGACUGUUACUUUGAAAAAAUUAGAGUGUUUAAAGCAGGCUAUUGCUCGAAUACAUUAGCAUGGAAUAAUAGAAUAGGACGGUUGGUUCUAUUUUGUUGGUUUCUAGGAUCACCGUAAUGAUUAAUAGGGAUAGUUGGGGGCAUUAGUAUUCAAUUGUCAGAGGUGAAAUUCUUGGAUUUAUUGAAGACUAACUACUGCGAAAGCAUUUGCCAAGGAUGUUUUCAUUAAUCAAGAACGAAAGUUAGGGGAUCGAAGACGAUCAGAUACCGUCGUAGUCUUAACCAUAAACUAUGCCGACUAGGGAUCGGACGAAGUUAAUUUUUAAAUGACUCGUUCGGCACCUUACGGGAAACCAAAGUGUUUGGGUUC